GAUGCGGCGUGCUAUACAUGCAAGUCGAGCGAACUGAUUAGAAGCUUGCUUCUAUGACGUUAGCGGCGGACGGGUGAGUAACACGUGGGCAACCUGCCUGUAAGACUGGGAUAACUUCGGGAAACCGAAGCUAAUACCGGAUAGGAUCUUCUCCUUCAUGGGAGAUGAUUGAAAGAUGGUUUCGGCUAUCACUUACAGAUGGGCCCGCGGUGCAUUAGCUAGUUGGUGAGGUAACGGCUCACCAAGGCAACGAUGCAUAGCCGACCUGAGAGGGUGAUCGGCCACACUGGGACUGAGACACGGCCCAGACUCCUACGGGAGGCAGCAGUAGGGAAUCUUCCGCAAUGGACGAAAGUCUGACGGAGCAACGCCGCGUGAGUGAUGAAGGCUUUCGGGUCGUAAAACUCUGUUGUUAGGGAAGAACAAGUACGAGAGUAACUGCUCGUACCUUGACGGUACCUAACCAGAAAGCCACGGCUAACUACGUGCCAGCAGCCGCGGUAAUACGUAGGUGGCAAGCGUUAUCCGGAAUUAUUGGGCGUAAAGCGCGCGCAGGCGGUUUCUUAAGUCUGAUGUGAAAGCCCACGGCUCAACCGUGGAGGGUCAUUGGAAACUGGGGAACUUGAGUGCAGAAGAGAAAAGCGGAAUUCCACGUGUAGCGGUGAAAUGCGUAGAGAUGUGGAGGAACACCAGUGGCGAAGGCGGCUUUUUGGUCUGUAACUGACGCUGAGGCGCGAAAGCGUGGGGAGCAAACAGGAUUAGAUACCCUGGUAGUCCACGCCGUAAACGAUGAGUGCUAAGUGUUAGAGGGUUUCCGCCCUUUAGUGCUGCAGCUAACGCAUUAAGCACUCCGCCUGGGGAGUACGGUCGCAAGACUGAACUCAAAGGAAAUGACGGGGCCCGCCACAGCGGUGGAGCAUGUGGUUUAAUUCGAGCACGCGAGAACCUUACCAGGUCUGGACGUCCUCUGACUACUCUAAGAUAGAGCGUUCCCCUGUCGGGCGACAAGUGGACAGAGGUGCUAGGUG
This 1028-nucleotide ribosomal RNA is filed under the name Bacillus sp. gx-28. Its description in RNAcentral is "bacterial SSU rRNA". It matches the Rfam family "Bacterial small subunit ribosomal RNA", at positions 35 to 1050 of the family's 1533-position model. The record is from RNAcentral. Lineage: Bacteria; Bacillati; Bacillota; Bacilli; Caryophanales; Bacillaceae.